Molecule: ribosomal RNA, 479 nt
Filed under: uncultured bacterium
Lineage: Bacteria
Description: bacterial SSU rRNA
Rfam family: Bacterial small subunit ribosomal RNA
Source: RNAcentral
GACGAACGCUGGCGGCGUGCCUAACACAUGCAAGUCGAGCGGGGUUGAGGCGAGAGGUAACUCGAACUUCUACCUAGCGGCGGACGGGUGAGUAACGCGUGGGCAACCUGCCUCAAGGUUUGGGAUAACAGCCCGAAAGGGCUGCUAAUACCGGAUAUGCCUAUGGCCUCGCAUGGGGCUAUGAGCAAAGGGGAAACCCGCCUUGAGAUGGGCCCGCGUCCCAUCAGCUAGUUGGUGAGGUAACAGCUCACCAAGGCGACGACGGGUAGCCGGCCUGAGAGGGUGACCGGCCACACUGGGACUGAGACACGGCCCAGACUCCUACGGGGGGCAGCAGUGGGGGAUCUUGCACAAUGGGCGAAAGCCUGAUGCAGCGACGCCGCGUGAGCGAAGAAGGCCUUCGGGUUGUAAAGCUCUGUCUGGAGGGACGGAACAAAAUAGACGGUACCGUCCGGAGGAAGGCCACGGCUAACUACGUG